CGGAGGAUCCAAGCGUUAUCCGGAUUUAUUGGGUUUAAAGGGUGCGUAGGCGGCUUUUUAAGUCAGGGGUGAAAGACGGUAGCUCAACUAUCGCAGUGCCCUUGAUACUGAAGAGCUUGAAUGUACUUGAGGUAGGCGGAAUGUGACAAGUAGCGGUGAAAUGCAUAGAUAUGUCACAGAACACCAAUUGCGAAGGCAGCUUACUAAUGUAUGAUUGACGCUGAGGCACGAAAGCGUGGGGAUCAAACAGGAUUAGAUACCCUGGUAGUCCACGCCCUAAACGAUGAACACUCGAUGUUGGCGAUAUACGGUCAGCGUCUAAGCGAAAGCGUUAAGUGUUCCACCUGGGGAGUACGCCCGCAAGGGUG
This 368-nucleotide ribosomal RNA is filed under the name uncultured organism. RNAcentral describes it as "bacterial SSU rRNA". It matches the Rfam family "Bacterial small subunit ribosomal RNA", at positions 526 to 896 of the family's 1533-position model. The record is from RNAcentral.